This 70-nucleotide transfer RNA is filed under the name Prevotella sp. RNAcentral's name for it is "tRNA-Ser". It matches the Rfam family "tRNA". From Rfam's summary of the family: Transfer RNA (tRNA) molecules are approximately 80 nucleotides in length. Lineage: Bacteria; Pseudomonadati; Bacteroidota; Bacteroidia; Bacteroidales; Prevotellaceae. RNAcentral also lists the same sequence under 1 other name. The record is from RNAcentral.
CGUCGUAUGGUGUAGUGGUGGCACAUUCAGUUAGAAACUGACGGUGCCGGUUCGAGUCCGGCUACGGCGA